GGCCACAUCAUUUUGAAACACCGGAUCCCGUACGAUCGCCCAAGUUAAGCAACGUUGAGACUGCUUAGUACCUACAUGGGUGACCGCUUGGUAAUAUCAGGUGAUGUUA
This 109-nucleotide ribosomal RNA is filed under the name Acanthosepion pharaonis. Lineage: Eukaryota; Metazoa; Mollusca; Cephalopoda; Sepiida; Sepiidae. The record is from RNAcentral.